Molecule: long non-coding RNA, 515 nt
Filed under: Sorghum bicolor (sorghum)
Lineage: Eukaryota; Viridiplantae; Streptophyta; Magnoliopsida; Poales; Poaceae
Description: long non-coding RNA (SBIC_LNC012175)
Source: RNAcentral
CCCCUCAUGAAAAAUUAGUAGCACAUAUAAUUCAUCCUCCAAUAUUAUUUUGGACCAGCAUCAAUAAUCAUAAUUCUUUUCUCUAAUUUUCCCUUCUUCACUCUUUACUAAUGAGCAUUGUAUAGACGAGUUUCUCCCUGUGGCUGGCCACUUCCUUUUGUUGUCACACGCCAAUCCCUCUCCUCAUGCAAGAAUAUAUACUACUAUUAAUUUCUCUCACUCCAUAUCACUUAUGUUUGCUUCUUUAAUCCAUUCCUUCAGUUGCAUGCAUGGACAUUACAACCAGACACAUUUUAUUUUCCUAUCCCUCAUCAUGUGAACAAAGCACCAUAUUGUCCCCCUAUGGCGCAUCCUCCUCUUCCUCCAUGCAAAAAUUAGAGCAGUAGUAAUUCUCUUCUCUUAAAUCCUUGUGCCAUCUCAUCUGCAUGCCUUCCUUCAUUCUCUCUUUAAUCCACUCCAAAUAGCAACCAUCCCUACUUUCUUUUUCAUCCACAUACACAGCAGCACCUCGGCAU